RNAcentral lists this ribosomal RNA (995 nucleotides) under uncultured bacterium. Its description in RNAcentral is "bacterial SSU rRNA". It matches the Rfam family "Bacterial small subunit ribosomal RNA", at positions 356 to 1376 of the family's 1533-position model. The record is from RNAcentral.
GGGGAAUAUUGCACAAUGGGGGAAACCCUGAUGCAGCGACGCCGCGUGGAGGAAGAAGGUCUUCGGAUUGUAAACUCCUGUUGUUGGGGAAGAUAAUGACGGUACCCAACAAGGAAGUGACGGCUAACUACGUGCCAGCAGCCGCGGUAAAACGUAGGUCACAAGCGUUGUCCGGAAUUACUGGGUGUAAAGGGAGCGCAGGCGGGAAGACAAGUUGGAAGUGAAAUCUAUGGGCUCAACCCAUAAACUGCUUUCAAAACUGUUUUUCUUGAGUAGUGCAGAGGUAGGCGGAAUUCCCGGUGUAGCGGUGGAAUGCGUAGAUAUCGGGAGGAACACCAGUGGCGAAGGCGGCCUACUGGGCACCAACUGACGCUGAGGCUCGAAAGUGUGGGUAGCAAACAGGAUUAGAUACCCUGGUAGUCCACACCGUAAACGAUGAUUACUAGGUGUUGGAGGAUUGACCCCUUCAGUGCCGCAGUUAACACAAUAAGUAAUCCACCUGGGGAGUACGACCGCAAGGUUGAAACUCAAAGGAAUUGACGGGGGCCCGCACAAGCAGUGGAGUAUGUGGUUUAAUUCGACGCAACGCGAAGAACCUUACCAAGUCUUGACAUCCCUUGACAGGCAUAGAAAUAUGUUUUCUCUUCGGAGCAAGGAGACAGGUGGUGCAUGGUUGUCGUCAGCUCGUGUCGUGAGAUGUUGGGUUAAGUCCCGCAACGAGCGCAACCCUUAUGGUCAGUUACUACGCAAGAGGACUCUGGCCAGACUGCCGUUGACAAAACGGAGGAAGGUGGGGAUAACGUCAAAUCAUCAUGCCCUUUAUGACUUGGGCUACACACGUACUACAAUGGCGUUAAACAAAGAGAAGCAAGACCGCGAGGUGGAGCAAAACUCAGAAACAACGUCCCAGUUCGGACUGCAGGCUGCAACUCGCCUGCACGAAGUCGGAAUUGCUAGUAAUCGUGGAUCAGCAUGCCACGGUGAAUACGUUCCCG